This 529-nucleotide ribosomal RNA is filed under the name Scenopinus sp. C SLW-2015. Its description in RNAcentral is "partial 16S ribosomal RNA". It matches the Rfam family "Bacterial large subunit ribosomal RNA", at positions 1852 to 2606 of the family's 2925-position model. Lineage: Eukaryota; Metazoa; Arthropoda; Insecta; Diptera; Scenopinidae. The record is from RNAcentral.
CAAAAACAUGCCCUUUAGUUUAUUAUUUUAGGUCUGGCUGCCCACUGAUUAUUAAUUGAAUGGCCGCAGUAUUUUAACUGUGCAAAGGUAGCAUAAUCAUUAGUCUUUUAAUUGAAGGCUUGUAUGAAUGGUCGGACGAAGUACAUACUGUGUCAUAAUAAUUUAUAUUAGAAUUUUAUUUUUCAUUUAAAAAGAUGAAAUAGUAUUUAAAGACGAGAAGACCCUAUAGAUUUUUAUAAAUUUGAGUUAUAAGAAUAUUUGGGUAAAUUUAUUUUUAUAAUUUUAAUUUAUUUUGCUGGGGUGGCAAAAAAAUUUAAAAAACUUUUAUUUUUCAUAAACAUUGAUUUAUGAGUAAUUGAUCUUCUAUUAGUGAUUAUAAGUUUAAAUUACCUUAGGGAUAACAGCGUAAUUUUCUUGGAGAGUUCUUAUCGAUAAGGAAGGUUGCGACCUCGAUGUUGGAUUAAAAUUAAUGUUGGGUGCAGAAGCUCAACUUUUAAGUCUGUUCGACUUUUAAUUUUUUACAUGAUCU